Molecule: ribosomal RNA, 914 nt
Filed under: uncultured bacterium
Lineage: Bacteria
Description: bacterial SSU rRNA
Rfam family: Bacterial small subunit ribosomal RNA
Source: RNAcentral
AGAGUUUGAUCCUGGCUCAGAUUGAACGCUGGCGGCAUGCCUUACACACGCAAGUCGAACGGCAGCACGGGAGCAAUCCUGGUGGCGAGUGGCGAACGGGUGAGUAAUGUAUCGGAACGUACCUUUCAGUGGGGGAUAACGUAGCGAAAGUUACGCUAAUACCGCAUAUUCUGUGAGCAGGAAAGCAGGGGAUCGCAAGACCUUGCGCUGAUUGAGCGGCCGAUAUCAGAUUAGCUAGUUGGUGAGGAAAAGGCUCACCAAGGCGACGAUCUGUAGCGGGUCUGAGAGGAUGAUCCGCCACACUGGAACUGAGACACGGUCCAGACUCCUACGGGAGGCAGCAGUGGGGAAUUUUGGACAAUGGGGGCAACCCUGAUCCAGCCAUGCCGCGUGAGUGAAGAAGGCCUUCGGGUUGUAAAGCUCUUUCGGCCGGGAAGAAAUCGCAUGGGUUAAUACCCUGUGCGGAUGACGGUACCGGCAUAAGAAGCACCGGCUAACUACGUGCCAGCAGCCGCGGUAAUACGUAGGGUGCGAGCGUUAAUCGGAAUUACUGGGCGUAAAGCGUGCGCAGGCGGUUUUGUAAGACAGGCGUGAAAUCCCCGGGCUCAACCUGGGAACUGCGCUUGUGACUGCAAGGCUAGAGUAUGGCAGAGGGGGGUGGAAUUCCACGUGUAGCAGUGAAAUGCGUAGAGAUGUGGAGGAACACCAAUGGCGAAGGCAGCCCCCUGGGCCAAUACUGACGCUCAUGCACGAAAGCGUGGGUAGCAAACAGGAUUAGAUACCCUGGUAGUCCACGCCCUAAACGAUGUCAACUAGGUGUUGGGUGGGUAAAACCAUUUAGUACCGGAGCUAACGCGUGAAGUUGACCGCCUGGGGAGUACGGCCGCAAGGUUAAAACUCAAAGGAAUUGACGG